GGAGAUGUGGCUCAGCAGUGGAGCACUUGCCUGAUAGGCAUGACCCUGGAUUCCAACCCCAGCAUUAGCA
RNAcentral lists this transfer RNA (70 nucleotides) under Neotoma lepida (desert woodrat). It matches the Rfam family "tRNA". From Rfam's summary of the family: Transfer RNA (tRNA) molecules are approximately 80 nucleotides in length. Lineage: Eukaryota; Metazoa; Chordata; Mammalia; Rodentia; Cricetidae. The record is from Rfam by way of RNAcentral.